AUUGAACGCUGGCGGCAUGCUUAACACAUGCCAGUCGAACGGCAGCAUUGUCUAGCUUGCUAGCCAGCUGGCGCGUGGCGCACGGGUGAGUCACGUGUAGGAAUAUGCCUUGAAGCGGGGGACAACUUGGGGAAACUCAAGUUAAUACCGCAUAAUGUCUGAGGACGAAAGCUGGGGACCUUCGGGCCUGGCGCUUUACGCUUAGCCUGCGUCCGAUUAGCUAGUUGGUGGGGUAAGGGCCUACCAAGGCGACGAUCGGUAGCUGGUCUGAGAGGAUGACCAGCCACACUGGAACUGAGACACGGUCCAGACUCCUACGGGAGGCAGCAGUGGGGAAUCUUGCACAAUGGGGGCAAGCCUGAUCCAGCAAUGCCGCGUGUGUGAAGAAGGUCUGAGGGUUGUAAAGCACUGUCAGUGGGGAGGAGGGUAGGUAGGUGAAGAGCUGAUUAACUGGACGUUACCCACAGAAGAAGCACCGGCUAACUCCGUG
Molecule: ribosomal RNA, 490 nt
Filed under: uncultured bacterium
Lineage: Bacteria
Description: partial 16S ribosomal RNA
Rfam family: Bacterial small subunit ribosomal RNA
Source: RNAcentral